Molecule: ribosomal RNA, 433 nt
Filed under: uncultured bacterium
Lineage: Bacteria
Description: partial 16S ribosomal RNA
Rfam family: Bacterial small subunit ribosomal RNA
Source: RNAcentral
AACGAACGCUGGCGGCAUGCCUAACACAUGCAAGUCGAACGAGACCUUCGGGUCUAGUGGCGCACGGGUGCGUAACGCGUGGGAACCUGCCCUUAGGCUCGGAAUAACUCCCCGAAAGGGGUGCUAAUACCGGAUAAUGUCUUCGGACCAAAGAUUUAUCGCCUUUGGAUGGGCCCGCGUUGGAUUAGCUAGUUGGUAGGGUAAAAGCCUAUCAAGGCGACGAUCCAUAGCUGGUCUGAGAGGAUGAUCAGCCACACUGGGACUGAGACACGGCCCAGACUCCUACGGGAGGCAGCAGUGGGGAAUAUUGGACAAUGGGCGAAGGCCUGAUCCAGCAAUGCCGCGUGAGUGAUGAAGGCCUUAGGGUUGUAAAGCUCUUUUACCCGGGAUGAUAAUGACAGUACCGGGAGAAUAAGCACCGGCUAACUCCGUG